This 503-nucleotide ribosomal RNA is filed under the name Halorubrum sp. AJ124. Its description in RNAcentral is "bacterial SSU rRNA". It matches the Rfam family "Archaeal small subunit ribosomal RNA", at positions 325 to 820 of the family's 1478-position model. The record is from RNAcentral. Lineage: Archaea; Methanobacteriati; Methanobacteriota; Halobacteria; Halobacteriales; Haloferacaceae.
ACGGGGUGGCAGCAGGCGCGAAACCUUUACACUGCACGACAGUGCGAUAGGGGGAUUCCAAGUGCACAGGCAUAGCGCCUUUGCUUUUCGGUACCGUAAGGCGGUACCAGAAUAAGGGCUGGGCAAGACCGGUGCCAGCCGCCGCGGUAAUACCGGCAGUCCAAGUGAUGGCCGAUCUUAUUGGGCCUAAAGCGUCCGUAGCUGGCCACGCAAGUCCAUUGGGAAAUCCACCUGCUCAACAGGUGGGCGUCCGGUAGAAACUGCACGGCUUGGGACCGGAAGGCGCGACGGGUACGUCCGGGGUAGGAGUGAAAUCCUGUAAUCCUGGACGGACCGCCAAUGGGGAAAGCACGUCGAGAGACCGGAUCCGACAGUGAGGGACGAAAGCCAGGGUCUCGAACCGGAUUAGAUACCCGGGUAGUCCUGGCCGUAAACAAUGUUUGCUAGGUGUGGCUACCCACUCACGAGCGGGGUGCAUGUGCCGGCUAGGGAAGCCGAUAAGC